This 86-nucleotide transfer RNA is filed under the name Candidatus Uhrbacteria bacterium. Its description in RNAcentral is "tRNA-Leu". It matches the Rfam family "tRNA". Rfam says of the family: Transfer RNA (tRNA) molecules are approximately 80 nucleotides in length. Their secondary structure includes four short double-helical elements and three loops (D, anti-codon, and T loops). RNAcentral also lists the same sequence under 2 other names. The record is from RNAcentral. Lineage: Bacteria; Candidatus Uhriibacteriota.
GCCGGGGUGGCGAAAUGGCAGACGCGCCAGCCUUAGGAGCUGGUGGGAGCAAUCCCAUGGAGGUUCAAGUCCUCUCCCCGGCACCA